CAUGUUGCCGUCUUCUGUAGUAAUUUAUGUUGCUAUCCUACACAAAGCAGUGAAGAAGCAAUGCCUUUUUCACCGUCUUGUCUAUGAAGGAAUGUCAAAAGUAAAUGGUCAAGCUUACAACGACGUUCUCUUCAUUGGCUUGGUGUUGACUCGGGCGUUUCUACACAUUUGUGCAGACGGACUGCUGCAGUUACCGUCCAUGGCCACAAGAUGGCGGCAAAUGUUAGCGCUACAACAGCAGGACGAGACGCUAUUUGGACGCAUGUUCGAUUCCCAGAACUGUCACGACUUUUAAUGAAGCAAAUAAUGUGAGUUUGAACAUUUUUGUCGUUUGAAAAGAAUCAGGCUGUUUUUAAAAGACACAAUGUGGACCAAAGUAACCGGAACACAUAUUUUGACGAACUGUCUGUGGGAAUUUGUGACGUCACAGCUCGCUAAUGUUGGACAAGUUCUUAGUUCUUGUCUGAAAAGAACUGAAAACUUUGCGGUCCCGGUCGAUUGAAGUGAUCGAUCAGGAGCAGCGUGUGUGCCCUUGAAAGUCCACAAGGGCUUUGCUCAGUGGCUCUGGGCGUAGGAGGCGGGGACCACCAGGGCGCCCCUGGAGGCCCACUCCGCCCACAUCCUGCCGGCGGUCUGAUACGUGCGCUCCGUCUUCGCCGACUCUGACGUGGCGGUCUCGGCCAGG
Molecule: long non-coding RNA, 685 nt
Organism: Nerophis lumbriciformis (worm pipefish)
Lineage: Eukaryota; Metazoa; Chordata; Actinopteri; Syngnathiformes; Syngnathidae
Source: RefSeq, a predicted model, not a curated record